RNAcentral lists this long non-coding RNA (718 nucleotides) under Onthophagus taurus. Its description in RNAcentral is "uncharacterized LOC111419834, transcript variant X2". Lineage: Eukaryota; Metazoa; Arthropoda; Insecta; Coleoptera; Scarabaeidae. The record is from RNAcentral.
GCGGAAAAUAAAAAAUAUAAGGAUUUAUCAAGAAAAGGCGUUUGUUGAAGAGAUUUUAAUGAAAAUUAACCUAAGGAUACCAUGGAUGCUGGAAAAUUAAUUAAAACCCAGGUUCCUCAAGAUUUUUUUUAACUCCAAUAACCAUUAAUCGGAAAAAAAGGAUUUUUAUUUCGGAAUAAUAAGGAAAAUAAGAAAUGCAAGGAUUUAUCAAGAAAAGGCGUGUAUUGAAGAGAUAUUAAUGGAAAUUAACCUGAAAAUUCCGUGGAUGAUGAAAAAUCAAUUAAAACCAACGUUUGAUAAGAUCUUUUUAGCUCCGAUAACCAUUAAUCAGAAGAAAGGGAUUCUUGUUUCGGAAUAAUACGGAAAAUACGAAAUAAAAGGAUUUAUCAAGAAAAGGCGCUUAUUGAUGAGAUUUGAAUGGAAAUUACCCUAAGGAUGCUGAAAAGUCAAUUAAAACCAAGGUUCAUCAAGAUUUUUUUUUAACUCCAAUAACAAUUAACCAGAAGAAAAUGGGUUUUGUUUAUAUCUAAUUAGGAAUAAAAGGAUAUAUCAAGGGUUCUUAUUCGGAUUGGAAAUUAAAAUAUUUUAAAGAAAGUCUUUACAUACAUUAUUUCUUGUUCUUGGCUUGAUUAUGCUAAUCACUUUAUGAUACUACCUUUGACAUGGUAGUAAUUAGGAGCUCAUUUUUAAGGACAAUAGAUUUUAUUUGAAAUAUAAA